UGCCAGCCGCCGCGGUAAUACGGAGGGUGCAAGCGUUAUCCGGAAUCACUGGGUUUAUAGGGUGCGUAGGUGGCACGAUAAGUCAGAGGUGAAAGGCCGUCGCUCAACGAUGGAAUUGCCUUUGAUACUGUUGUGCUUGAAUCAAGUUGAGGUAAGCAGAAUGUGGCAUGUAGCGGUGAAAUGCAUAGAUAUGCCAUAGAAUACCGAUUGCGAAGGCAGCUUACUGGACUUGUAUUGACACUGAGGCACGAAAGCGUGGGGAGCGAACAGGAUUAGAUA
RNAcentral lists this ribosomal RNA (279 nucleotides) under uncultured bacterium. RNAcentral's name for it is "partial 16S ribosomal RNA". It matches the Rfam family "Bacterial small subunit ribosomal RNA", at positions 506 to 784 of the family's 1533-position model. The record is from RNAcentral.